CUUAUGAAGUCAUCCUGUCCUGCGGGGCAAUUCUGUGUUGCUGCUGGGGCCUGGUCACUGAUAGAGAAGGGCGUCGGCUGGGCCUACCGGGCAGGAGCCGCCUCACCCCAUCAGGCCCAGAUCCUCUAAGACAAGACAGGGGUAAAGUCUCCCGUGGAAUCCCCUCCCGCCUCAUAUUCCCUGACCCUGCUCUCCCUGCGAGAACUCUAGUACGGGCUCCACAGAGGGAGCGAUGGAGUCUUGCUUAGUUGCCGAAGCUGGAGUAUUGUGGCUCGAUCUCAGCUCUGCAACCUCUGCCUCCCAGGGUUCAAGCAAUUCUCCUGUCUCAGUUUCCAGAGUAGCUAGAAUUAUAGAUUCUGGGAAAGCGAACUCCACGGAAGACUCAGAAACCAAGUUCUAAUUCAGUUGCCAUGAAAACUUAAGGUGAGGGGAUUGUCAAUCAGUGAAAAAUACGGAGGAAAACACUAACAGAAUAUGAUGAAGAAGCCAACACUUGGGCUGCUUGCAUUACAUUAACCGAGGUUUACCCGCAGCGAGGCUGCCU
This 544-nucleotide small RNA is filed under the name Pongo abelii (Sumatran orangutan). RNAcentral's name for it is "processed transcript". The record is from RNAcentral. Lineage: Eukaryota; Metazoa; Chordata; Mammalia; Primates; Hominidae.